Long non-coding RNA from Triticum dicoccoides, 2618 nucleotides. RefSeq lists it as uncharacterized. The transcript is spliced from 9 exons. The record is from RefSeq and is a predicted model, not a curated record. Lineage: Eukaryota; Viridiplantae; Streptophyta; Magnoliopsida; Poales; Poaceae.
GCACCGCGCUCGCGCGUGGGGGGCGCAGCGCACCGCGCUUGACGUGCAGGCCCCGCACCCGUACACUUUCUCCUCCAGCGAAUCGAGCGGGCAGCGAGCGAACGCUCCCCACGCGCACGAACCCUAGCCGCCGCUCUCCUCUCCCGUGACCCCCAACCACCACCGCUCUUCUCUCCUCUGCCUCGUCUCCCAACCACCCAACCCAAAGUCCGGCGGCCUCCUCUCCCUCCAGCGCCGCCGCUCCAGCCUCACCUUCCUUCCUCUCCAAAGGAAGGGAAGGGAAGGGAAGGGAAGGGAUGGGGAGGGGAGGGAAGGCCCCAGAUCGAGCGGAGCGACGCCCAGAUCCACAGCGGCACCGGCACCAGCGCGCCGUCGCGCCGUCGUCCACCUGGUCCUCGAGGAAGGCCAUGGAUGAGGGCGGAACCCUAGCCGGCGACUCCUUUUCGUGGCCGCCAAAUCCUUGCCUGGAGCUGCACCGUCAUCCAUCUCUCUACAUGUUUCUCGAUUCGCUGCCGCUGCGCGCUGUGCUUCUGGAUCACGUGCAAGUCAUUGCCAUUGGAGAGCAGGGGUGGCUUGGUAUUUAUGGUGGGCAUGGAGCAGAGGAGGAUGAGAGGGGUGGCCAUGAGACCUGAGAGAAAAGGAGAAGGGGAUGAAUCUUGAGGAAGAUCUUGGUGAAGAAAAAGGUGUUCCUAAUGGCAACGGUGGUAUAAUCAGCAAUGAGGAAAAAGGAACUGUGAUUGGAUUUGUACUAGGCUGAUGCUUCUUUGCUUGAUGCUGAAGAAAAGGAUGAUCAUAUUAAGAUCCCCAAGAACAACAGGGAGUUAGGACAGGGAAGAAAUCAGAGCAGUGACUGCUUUGCACUAGCUAUACAGGGAUCGAAAGCCUAUAGGAGUAGGAGGAGAUAGGGAGGAUGAGGAAGGAGACAAGCAGGAUGAAGAGAGAUUCUUGUGGAUUUGCUCGCCUUAUGGACUCGCUAUAAACAUGUGCUUGUUGUGCUACUCAUGCUUUUUAUCUUACCAUCAUCUCCAAUAGUGUCGAGUUCCUAUUGUUUGGCCUUGUCUUAGGAUCGAAGGAACAUUCAAAUUCUGAUGUUUGCUGAAAAUAUAAUGUAAUUUGCCCAUGAAUAGUCUUGAUUCAGCCCAGAGAAAAUAUGAAUGGUUUGGGUUUCAUCCUAUAUAAGUAUUAUUAUUUGUGAUAUACUGAUAUAGGCUGCUUCUACUACCAGCUUGUCUUCUCCAGCUACUUAUUUUCUCCUGUAUUCCAGAUCCUGUUGCAGUUUACUUGGCCCGAUGCCUGGUGUGCUCACUUUCGUCUUGCCAAGGUUCCGUCUUCCUCCUUCGGCAUUCUUUUCUUUUGCUCAUUUCAUAUGUAGUAUUUUACUGAACUGUGUGUGUUUCGUGCUUGUGUCCUUUCUUCCUUGUUAGUGUUACUUAUUGUUGCCUGUUGACUUUAUACCUUGUGUGCCGCUUAUCAUUGUCUCAUUGUUUAGUUUUUGUUCUGCCAGAAAAGGGUACAUCUAUAUAAUGAAUAUAUGUUGAUUCUACAAAGCGACAUGUAUUUUGAUAUGUGUUCAAGGAAAAAUGCCGAAUCUACCUGUUCUUAUCCAUCCAAAGGUUGUGAUGUACUUUGUCAACCAAUGGAUUAUUACAAAUUUGACCUUCUCAAUAUGGUGUUCAUUUCCAUGUGCAGAAAUAGAUUGUAUCAUGCUUUGUUAUAGAUUCUGUAGGUCUGCUCUGUACCAAGAACCUGCAGAUUUCAAUAUUGCUAUGUGCAUAUAAGCUUCAUUAAUUUGUUGGGCAUUAACCUCAGUCACAUAUUAAACAUGGAUGGUAGUGAUUUCUUUUUAAAGCAUUUAUCAUUUCGAAAUUAUGUCCUUCAUAGCUUGAUUAAAGGUCUAGAUAAGUAAGGUUUAUCUCUACACUAUCUUCUGCCUGUUAUAUUUUCCCUAUAAACCUCACCCUACCCGCUAUUCUGGGGCAUCCGCGGCGCGUGCAUGAUUUCGCUUGAACGAUUCACGGAGCCUGCACUUGGGUGUGAUGCACGGGAGGCUGCGCUUCGCCUCUUCCUCGCUCAGCAACAGGAGCAUUUGCAGCCGGGUGGUGCGGCCCAGGGACAGAAGUUGCUAAAGAAAGCUCCGACAUUAUAAUCUUAGAUGAUGACUUCACAUCUAUUGUGAAGGGUCAUUGGAAUGGACCAAGUUAUGAAUGUUCGUGAAAUGCGAUACUAGAACCUUUAAAAAGUUAUUUGAGCUGAGGGCAUGGAGAUCAUCACCGCGGGCCAUGUGAAUAUGGAGAAGGAAGUCUUCAAUCCAAACCGCGGGAUCUGUUGUCCCAUCAUAUGGUUCAAUGUUUACGGGUUUAAACCCUUUUGGGAAUUCAUGUUCCAUUAGUUCGUCAGUGAAGCAUAGGGGGUGUGCGGCGCCUUCGUGUCAGGCUACUUCGCAACGCAGUUCGGAUGUAGCUAGUCUGCUGUAUUCGGCCCAGGUGGAUUUGUUUGUAGUGUAUCCGACGUGACGGUCAUCGUCGCGUGUUGAGGCGCGCCCCCGCGAUCCGUAGAUCGAUCUUGGCUGUCCUGCUUUGUCCUCCAAUUCGUACCGCAGAUCAUGUGUGUAUCCCCGA